Molecule: ribosomal RNA, 464 nt
Filed under: uncultured bacterium
Lineage: Bacteria
Description: partial 16S ribosomal RNA
Rfam family: Bacterial small subunit ribosomal RNA
Source: RNAcentral
ACGCACGCUGGCGGCGUGCUUCACACCUGCCAGUCGCACGGAAAGGCCCUGCUUGCAGGGUACUCGAGUGGCGAACGGGUGAGUAACACGUGGGUGAUCUGCCCUGCACUUCGGGAUAAGCCUGGGAAACUGGGUCUAAUACCGGAUAGGAGCCAUUUUUAGUGUGAUGGUUGGAAAGUUUUUUCGGUGUAGGAUGAGCUCGCGGCCUAUCAGCUUGUUGGUGGGGUAAUGGCCUACCAAGGCGGCGACGGGUAGCCGGCCUGAGAGGGUGGACGGCCACAUUGGGACUGAGAUACGGCCCAGACUCCUACGGGAGGCAGCAGUGGGGAAUAUUGCACAAUGGGCGCAAGCCUGAUGCAGCGACGCCGCGGGGGGGAUGACGGCCUUCGGGUUGUAAACUCCUUUCGCUAGGGACGAAGCUUUUUGUGACGGUACCUAGAUAAGAAGCACCGGCUAACUACGUG